Vicugna pacos (alpaca) is the source of this 4989-nucleotide non-coding RNA. The record is from RefSeq and is a predicted model, not a curated record. NCBI's taxonomy places the organism in Eukaryota, Metazoa, Chordata, Mammalia, Artiodactyla, Camelidae.
GCCGCCAGUGAGGGGCCGCGCUCAGGGUAGAAGACGGGAACGAGAGGAGGCCGGGCUGGAGAAGGCAGGAUAACCGGAGAGGAGGGACGUGUUGGAGAUAACUGAGGAUGUGGGAACUAAGCACACAGAGCUAAGUAACCUUCCCAAGGAUAGUGAAGUAGUAAAUAGCAAGGAUGAAAUUCUGUCUGCAGCCGGACUUGGGGCUCUCAAUAUGCAAAGCUCGUCUCUCAGCAAAGGCAUGUGACCCUAUGUGAGCUGCCAAGUCAGAAACCAGUGGCUGUGGAGAACAUUUCAGCAAUGGCCAGGUCUCCUGGUCACUGGAACAUUACCGGAUCCUGAGAGCCGCAGAGGGUCUGUCGCGUAAAUAUACAACUGAAUCCUAAGGUAAACUGUGGACUUCGGAGGAUUCUGAUGUGUCGGAGGUUCAUCCUUGGUGAAAAAUGUACCACAUGCAAAUGGAGACACGGCAGUGAGCAAGUUCAGCAUGAUUGCUGCCCUAAUGGCAUAGGGGAUGAUGCGGUGGCCAUAAAGCUGCCCAAAACAUUUGUCCCCAAAACUGAAGAUUCUGACAAGGUAAGAAAAAAAAUAAGGAUUUUUACUGUUUUAUUUUCUUCUGGUCUGGGCUUUCCUGAGGCUGAAACCAAUUGACUCCAGUUGUAAAUCCUGCUGGAGAGAAAGUGCUUAUUUUUCUUUCUUUCUUUCUUUCUUUUUUUAAAGGGAAUUGAUAGCUGUGUAAGCAUAUCACUGGUCUGGAGACUUGAGGUGAAGCUCCAAUUUGCUUGCCCAAGGUCCCUGAUCAACCUCAAGGAAGCCAGUUCAUAGAAGCCCCCGUUCUGACUUAUCAAAAUAUUCACUUGACCUUGAAAAUAUUCUCAUUGAUGUCAUGCAGCUAGCAAACGAUAAAGUAUUUGAACAAAAUGUUUGCAUCAGUGACUCCAAAUUGACACAAACUCUGCAGGUUGUCUCUAGGAUGAGAAAUCUCUCGAAGGCUCCUUUUAUUUAGUGCUCGCAGGGGUUUGUUACUCUCUGUGCUGAAAGACGACAAGCAGCAUGUUAAUUAAAGAACUGACAUCCUUCAAUUUACUCUUUUCUCCCUACUUGCCAUGUUCCUCUUUCUUCCCUAACUCCCAUCCCCACUCCCGCCGUCCCCAGAGAAGUGUAAAUGAAAGGUUUCACAGUUUCACAUGAAUAAUUUGGGGGCAGAUACAGUUCUCUUCAUCAACCACUAUACAGUAAAGUCAAAUCGGGUACCCUCUUAUGUGAAUUUUUGAUCUUUUUAACACAGGAAAAAAUCAUUUUGAUAAAGGUUAAUGCCUCCUUAAUAUUUACACACUUGAAUCAUAUUGAAAAUGCGUUCUGAAAUUCUGAAAUCUUGAAUUAAUAUGACAACGUGCAAAGAUUGUGUGACACUAUUUGUAAUUCAUUAGCACAUACUCUACAAUAUAUUAGCAUCAAAUGUGGGAGGCUCUGUCAUGGUCCUGGCAAACCUGUAAGUUUCAUCCUGGUUUAUGGUCUAGCACUUUAAGAUUCUGACAUGGAUGUCCAGAGACAAUUCCAAAUGAUUCUUGCAGAUCAGGAAUAAAUUAAUUUAUCCAGCAACCUGCUAGAUAUAAUAUAGUAGCCUGAGAAACAUGCAGCCAUCCAGCAUAUGUUUGUCUAGUUUCGAGCGGAUUUUGAACACCAGACUGCCAUCGUGGGAAUGAAUUGUGACAUGACCCUGGUAAAUUGGGGACUGCAUCUGCUCUGUGGCACCUGGCAUGUGUCUCCCUCACACAGUGAGUCUGCAAAUGAUUAAUGGUCCCUACAAUUCACUUCAUUUUGAAACAGUGCCUGGGUAACCUCACGUGGAUCAGCAACAGCUCCUGGAACAAGUGGAAAUCUAACGGUGUCAUAGAUUCCAUAAGUUCGUUCUGUGCUGAUGCUAAAACCCUCUGGACUGUUUAUUUUAAUGACUUGUUCUCCUGGGAAUCGGAAAACUAGUCUCCUACUGACAGAUACACAUAGUGUCCCAAAUAGCAAAUUAAUGGCAAUGCUUAAUUACCUCAAAUAUUUAUAUCUUAGCUCUUAAAUAUACCCAAAUCCCCCCCCCCACCAAUCCUUGGGCAUCGUAGAAUAUUCAGAGUUCCCUUGAACUUGAAAACUUUUGUAAGGAACACAGCCUAAGAAUUUAUGUUUAAAAAUAUUUAUAAAUGCCGUUUCUGGUUUGACUGUUAUUACAGAGAAAGCUGAAUGAUCUGGAUUUUGGAAUUGACAGGGCUGCUUCGUGUUUAUGAUUAAUCUCUGUGACCGGCCUACUUGGAACUGUAGUCUAAUAUUUUUGAUCCAUUGUAUAGUGUGCUCAUGUAAGUGUGAGUGUGUGAGUGUAGGUGCACAUGGGCACAUGUGUACAGAUCUUUAUGGAACAAAGCAAAUACACUAGUGAAUGCACACAUGUGCUCUUGUCCUUGUGAUCACUGUUGCCUGCACACGUCAGCUUGUUCUUGCUUCUCCCUUUGGGCAAUGCCAGAAAGCUCUGCACUCAGCCUCAUCCCUGCCCGGCUGCUCUGUCAGGAUAUUUCUUCCUAAUAUCCCUUUAAUCCCGUCUCCAGGAAUGUCAUACUGCGUUUUAGUUGGGCACAUUGCUACUCACCCAAAUACACAUUUUCCAGUCUUUCUUACAGCUAGGUGUGGACAAGUGACCUCAUUUUAGGCAAGACAUGCGUGCAAUUGUGUGGUGUGCGUACCCUACCGUCGGUGGACCUCUUCCAUCAACCUGCUGCCUAGAACAUAACCUGAUGACUUAGGCUCCAGCGGCCAUCGUGUGCAAAUAUCAAGUGAGGUCCACACGGUGAGCUGGAAGGAGCCCUGCGCUCUGACACCUGGGGGACCUCGCUUGUUCUGGGCUGCCUAUCUGCAGAUUAACCUCUCUGUCUUGCUCAAAGCAUUGUUUUUCCAGCUGUUGGUCUGCAGGCUGUAUCCUAACAGAUACAAGUGUCCUCGUCAUUUCUUCCACACCUGCCCUGGAUGCCGUAUGUCCCCUGCUCUGCGCCCUGCCUUCCAUGUUCUUCGUUGUGCUCCCAGGAGCCAGUUCCCGCCUGUGUGACGUCCUCGCCUGAUCGUAGGAGGCCUGCCAAGAUCUGAUGACGGCCUCUGUCCAGCCUCGCACCUGCUGUUACUCCUGACCGUGACUCCAGGUUUUGGCAGCACUGCUGCGCGUCCUCACACUUGAGAUGAGCAAACUGAGCUGAGAGAGAUCAUUUCAUUUUCCCAAGGACACACAGGAGGCUCUCCCCACUGUUGAAGAUACAUCAUCAUGUCUCUGGAAGAAGACAGCUGCCAUGUCAUGAGGAUGCUCAAGCAGCAACUUGGAAAGGUUCAUGUGGUCCAGACGAAAGGGACUGAGGGCCUCUGCCAACAGACAUGUGGGCGAGCCAUCUUGGAAGCAGAUCCUCCAGUCCCAGUCAAGCUUUCAAAGACUGCAGUCCUGGCCAACAUCUUGGCUAUAAAUUCAUGAGAGACGCUGAACCAGAACCACCCCCACCAGCUAAGCCAAAACCAAAUUCAUAACCCUUAAAGAAAUGUGAGAUAAUAGAUAUUUGUUGUUUUCAACUGCUAAUUUUCAGGAUGUUAUCCAGCAAUAAUACAUAAUGAAUAUAGGCAGAUGCUAUCCUGUUGUUCUCCCCCUUCCUUUUUCACGAUUAUCAGCAAUAUUGCAACAAAACCUCUUUGUACAUCUGUGUUUAUGUCCUCAAGAUAUUAUUUCUGUGGGAUAAAUUCUUAAAAUUGGAAUUUAUGGCUUGCACAUAUUAAAUUUAGGGAGAAAUUGCCUCCCUUCCAAAAUUGUAACAGUCUAUUCUCUCCCAAACAGUUGAUGAGAGUGCCUCUAUAUCUUUGCUAAUUUUAAAUGUUGUCUGUCUUUCUAAUUUUUCUCAGUCUUAUCUGAUAUUUUUGUUAGUUUGUAUUCUUUAACUCUUGGUGAAGAUAAGCAUGUUUUUGUAUGUUUAUGAUUUUAAAAAAUCACCUCACUUAUUUCAGAUGAAAUUUUCUUUGCAUGCUCCUACCCCUUGCUCUUCUACACUGCUUGCCAUAUAGUUCACAUUACAUAAAUGUGCCGUUUUCAAAUGGAUGAAUGAUAGGCUAGUAAAUGCAAUGCAGAUGUGCAGAAAGUCUUCAUUUAACUCCAUGGGAUUGACUUUUAAUUGGGAAAAAAUAUCUUAGCAACCAAUUAAUUUAAUUAUCUUUCCUUUACCCUUUAUCAAUAUUUAAUUAUCAUCCAGGUGUUCUCUAAGAUCUUCAUUUUAUAACUUGUUCAGGUUAAUUUGUUUCUAAAAGUGGCCAUAUACUUUUUCUCUCUGAAUAUUUUAACAAUAGCAGGUUAGUUAUAUAACAAAUAACUAUAAUGAUAGUAACAACAAUAUGAUGAUGCUAAUUCCAAUCAUUCUUGGGUACUUACUGCAUGACAAGUACAUUAUAUACAUCACUGACCUAAUUUAAUAUUUAUUACAGCCCUGUAACAAUUGUUAUUUCCCACCAUAGAACUGAGGAAACGAAAAUUCAGGGAGAUUAAAUAAAUUAGCCACAAUCAUAUAGCUACUAAAUGAUACAGUUGGGAUUCAGGCUCUUGUCUGUCUGAAUUCAAAGCCUGUAUUCUUUCUGUAAUGCUCAGCUGACUUUCUCAGAAAUAAAUCAUUUGUAUAGUUGUACUGUCAUGUUGUUAUGUUCAAAGAAAACCGACGGUUCAAGCAAAUAAUUCCAGAGUUUUAUUUUUAUUUUUUACUGAAGUAUAGUUGAUUUACAAUGUUAAAUUCUACAAUUUUAAAUGAUGAACAUUGAAAUUAUAUUUUUUCCUGCCUGGAGGGCACUGCUUACUGCUAUUGAUUGUUUUUGCAGAAGAAUGAGCAUUUUCCUUUCCUUCAUUGUUAACAAACUUAAUUCAGCCAUCAGUGGGUAAGUGACUCAGGCCCAGUUAAAGUGAGAGAUGCAAUUGGAACGUUUCACAAUGAAAAGAGA